GUCGAGCGAAUCUUUGGGAGCUUGCUCCCAUUGGUUAGCGGCGGACGGGUGAGUAACACGUGGGCAACCUGCCUGUAAGACUGGGAUAACUUCGGGAAACCGGAGCUAAUACCGGAUAAUUCUUUUCCUCUCAUGAGGAAAAGCUGAAAGUCGGUUUACGCUGACACUUACAGAUGGGCCCGCGGCGCAUUAGCUAGUUGGUGAGGUAACGGCUCACCAAGGCGACGAUGCGUAGCCGACCUGAGAGGGUGAUCGGCCACACUGGGACUGAGACACGGCCCAGACUCCUACGGGAGGCAGCAGUAGGGAAUCUUCCACAAUGGACGAAAGUCUGAUGGAGCAACGCCGCGUGAGCGAUGAAGGCCUUCGGGUCGUAAAGCUCUGUUGUUAGGGAAGAACAAGUACCGGAGUAACUGCCGGUACCUUGACGGUACCUAACCAGAAAGCCACGGCUAACUACGUGCCAGCAGCCGCGGUAAUACGUAGGUGGCAAGCGUUGUCCGGAAUUAUUGGGCGUAAAGCGCGCGCAGGCGGUCCUUUAAGUCUGAUGUGAAAGCCCACGGCUCAACCGUGGAGGGUCAUUGGAAACUGGGGGACUUGAGUGCAGAAGAGGAAAGCGGAAUUCCACGUGUAGCGGUGAAAUGCGUAGAGAUGUGGAGGAACACCAGUGGCGAAGGCGGCUUUCUGGUCUGUAACUGACGCUGAGGCGCGAAAGCGUGGGGAGCAAACAGGAUUAGAUACCCUGGUAGUCCACGCCGUAAACGAUGAGUGCUAAGUGUUAGGGGGUUUCCGCCCCUUAGUGCUGCAGCUAACGCAUUAAGCACUCCGCCUGGGGAGUACGGCCGCA
Molecule: ribosomal RNA, 847 nt
Filed under: Bacillus sp. TBS2-4_Pa
Lineage: Bacteria; Bacillati; Bacillota; Bacilli; Caryophanales; Bacillaceae
Description: bacterial SSU rRNA
Rfam family: Bacterial small subunit ribosomal RNA
Source: RNAcentral